Molecule: ribosomal RNA, 434 nt
Filed under: uncultured bacterium
Lineage: Bacteria
Description: bacterial SSU rRNA
Rfam family: Bacterial small subunit ribosomal RNA
Source: RNAcentral
GCAGUAGGGAAUAUUGGGCAAUGGACGGAAGUCUGACCCAGCCAUGCCGCGUGCAGGAUGAAGGCGCUCAGCGUUGUAAACUGCUUUUAUCUGGGAAGAACAGCAGUCCUGCGGGAUUGUGUGACGGUACCAGAGGAAUAAGCACCGGCUAACUCCGUGCCAGCAGCCGCGGUAAUACGGAGGGUGCAAGCGUUGUCCGGAUUUAUUGGGUUUAAAGGGUGCGUAGGUGGUAUUGUAAGUCUGGUUUGAAAGCUGGUCGCUUAACGAUCAGAUGUGGCUGGAAACUGCGGUACUUGAAUGGAUUGGCGGUAGCCGGAAUGGGUCAUGUAGCGGUGAAAUGCAUAGAUAUGACCCGGAACACCGAUUGCGAAGGCAGGCUACUACGAUUUGAUUGACACUGAGGCACGAGAGCAUGGGUAGCGAACAGGAUUAGA